UCCCCGGGCUCCACCUGGGACCUGCGUUCUGAACUGGGUGACUAGAGUGUGUCAGAGGGAGGUAGAAUUCCACGUGUAGCAGUGAAAUGCGUAGAGAUGUGGAGGAAUACCGAUGGGCGAAGGCAGCCUCCUGGGAUAACACUGACGUUCAUGCUCGAAAGCGUGGGUAGCAAACAGGAUUAGAUACCCUGGUAGUCCACGCCCUAAACGAUGUCAAUUAGCUGUUGGGCAACUUGAUUGCUUAGUAGCGUAGCUAACGCGUGAAAUUGACCGCCUGGGGAGUACGGUCGCAAGAUUAAAACUCAAAGGAAUUGACGGGGACCCGCACAAGCGGUGGAUGAUGUGGAUUAAUUCGAUGCAACGCGAAGAACCUUACCUGGUCUUGACAUGUACGGAAUCCUCCAGAGACGGAGGAGUGCCUUCGGGAGCCGUAACACAGGUGCUGCAUGGCUGUCGUCAGCUCGUGUCGUGAGAUGUUGGGUUAAGUCCCGCAACGAGCGCAACCCUUGUCAUUAGUUGCCAUCAUUUAGUUGGGCACUCUAAUGAGACUGCCGGUGACAAGCCGGAGGAAGGUGGGGAUGACGUCAAGUCCUCAUGGCCCUUAUGACCAGGGCUUCACACGUCAUACAAUGGUCGGUACAGAGGGUAGCCAAGCCGCGAGGUGGAGCCAAUCUCACAAAACCGAUCGUAGUCCGGAUUGCACUCUGCAACUCGAGUGCAUGAAGUCGGAAUCGCUAGUAAUCGCAGGUCAGCAUACUGCGGUGAAUACGUUCCCGGGUCUUGUACACACCGCCCGUCACACCAUGGGAGUGGGGGAUACCAGAAG
RNAcentral lists this ribosomal RNA (826 nucleotides) under Neisseria subflava. RNAcentral's name for it is "bacterial SSU rRNA". It matches the Rfam family "Bacterial small subunit ribosomal RNA", at positions 600 to 1426 of the family's 1533-position model. The record is from RNAcentral. Lineage: Bacteria; Pseudomonadati; Pseudomonadota; Betaproteobacteria; Neisseriales; Neisseriaceae.